This 158-nucleotide small nuclear RNA is filed under the name Sorex araneus (European shrew). RNAcentral describes it as "U1 spliceosomal RNA (ENSSARG00000015058.1)". It matches the Rfam family "U1 spliceosomal RNA". Rfam says of the family: U1 is a small nuclear RNA (snRNA) component of the spliceosome (involved in pre-mRNA splicing). Its 5' end forms complementary base pairs with the 5' splice junction, thus defining the 5' donor site of an intron. The record is from RNAcentral. Lineage: Eukaryota; Metazoa; Chordata; Mammalia; Eulipotyphla; Soricidae.
CUAUUUACCUGGCAGGGGAGAUACCAUGACCACAAAGAUGGUUUUCCCAGGGUGAGGCUUAUCCAUUGCGCCCCUGAUGUGCUCACCUCUGAGAUGUCCCCAAAUGUGGGAAAAUCGACAGCAUAAUUUGUGGUAGAGGGGGAUUGCAUUAACACNNN